AACGCAUAUUGCGCUCUUUGGUAUUCCGAAGAGCAUGCUUGUUUGAGUAUCAGUAAACACCUCAAAGCCUUCAAUUCAGUUUGAAAGCUUUGGACUUGAGCAAUCCCAACAUCAGUCUCGCGACUGACGGAGGGCUGCUUGAAAUGCAGGUGCAGCUGGACAUUCUCCUGAGCUAUAAGCAUAUUUAUUUAGUCCCGUCAAACGGAUUAUUACUUUUGCUGCAGCUAACAUAAAGGGAGUCUGACCGUAUUGGCUGACUGAUGCAGGAUUUCACAAGGGCUGGCAACAGCUUCUUGUAAAACUCGAUCUCAAAUCAAGUAAGACUACCCGCUGAACUUAA
Molecule: unclassified non-coding RNA, 340 nt
Filed under: uncultured Mortierella
Lineage: Eukaryota; Fungi; Mortierellomycota; Mortierellomycetes; Mortierellales; Mortierellaceae
Description: sequence contains ITS2
Source: RNAcentral